Long non-coding RNA from Xiphophorus hellerii (green swordtail), 282 nucleotides. RefSeq lists it as uncharacterized. The record is from RefSeq and is a predicted model, not a curated record. Lineage: Eukaryota; Metazoa; Chordata; Actinopteri; Cyprinodontiformes; Poeciliidae. The transcript is spliced from 2 exons.
UUCACGAUGACCUGGAGAUGAGACGAGGGAGCAAACUGAGCGGUGCGGAAAACGACCACAACCUCCGUACAUCUCCAAGGCAGUGUUUAUGUUGCGUGGGCUGAUGCCAAGGUUUUCAGCUGGGACGAAGGGAAAGGAGCGGUAAACACAGCAAGCUCAGCGUAUAGCGGCCUUAUGAAGGGACGGUGAGUGUACUAGUAGGAAAUGUAUUCAUAUUUGUUCCAGAAUUUCUGUAUCGAGUGCUAAUCUGUUUAUUUUCUUUUGUAGCAAAAUGAGAUUUUU